GAAAAACUACCAUGAUACUGCCAAAAGUAAAGGAAGUUAGAAAAAUUCAUAUAUAUCUUCUCUUCUGACUAAACUAUGACAUGUUUAAGCUUUAAAAAAUAGAAAAUUGAAAGACUGGACAAAUAGAAAAGCCUCAGCGUUCAAUAGGUAGAUGCACAAGGAAUGCAAAACACUCCAACAAGAUUACCCUUAGAAACCAAUCUAUCAAGCAUUAAAGAAACUAAAUGAUUUCUCAC
This 236-nucleotide unclassified non-coding RNA is filed under the name Hevea brasiliensis (rubber tree). The record is from RNAcentral. Lineage: Eukaryota; Viridiplantae; Streptophyta; Magnoliopsida; Malpighiales; Euphorbiaceae.